This is a long non-coding RNA of Cyprinus carpio carpio, 1595 nucleotides long. Lineage: Eukaryota; Metazoa; Chordata; Actinopteri; Cypriniformes; Cyprinidae. The record is from Ensembl.
GGACACCGUAUUUCAGUCUUCAUUAUCCUCCUCCUCCUCACUGACUUUGUUGAGAUUUUCUUGAGUCCCUACAUACUGUUAAAACAUCUCCUUGAUGAGAUCCCCUCCUAUAAGGAUUGGACAAUUUGGGUUUUGUGGUCUUUAUGGUGGGCAUCAAGAGUCUGUGGUCUCCUCUUAAACCAGCUGGUGGCGCUAGAGGGAAUUCUCUCAGUUAAAUAUCCACUACAGACCUCAAAUAUGAAAGCUGAGAUCAAACCACAAGAUAAGCCAUCAAAGAAAAGCCAGAUGUAGAAAAAAGGAAGAAAGAGCAAGGCACACAGACAGAGCAAGAGAAGAAAUCAACCCAGAUUGGAAACACUCUUAUGCCAUGAGCACAGCGAUGUAGAAAUCUCCUGAAUAUAUCUAGAUUUUCAGCUGGAUAUCACAAAGAGAUCGAAGAAAGACUAGAAUAUGGAAAAUCAUACAUUUCAUUGGGAGCUGGAAGUUGGCUGGCUGGAGAAAAGGGUCAGAUGGUCCAUCUUCAUCUUCAUUAGUGUGUGUGCAGGUCUACCAGCUCUUGCUUGGUCUCUCAGCGAUUUAAUUCAUCACAGAAAGAAUGGACAGCAGAUUUCAUUCUUCAUCAUCCUCCUCCUCCUCACUGACUUUGUUGAGCUUCUCUUGAGUCCAUACAUCCUGGCAAAACAUCUCCUAGAGGAGUUCUCCUGGUACAUGGAUUGGACAUGUUGGUUUUUUUGGGCUUUAUGGUGGUCGUCAAGAGUCUGUGGUCUCCUCUUAAACCAGCUGGUGGCGCUAGAGGGAAUUCUCUCAGUGAAAUAUCCACUGUAUACUGCUUCUGUUUUCUCUUCUCCGCGUUUCAUAAUUUACUACAUACUUGUGUUUCUCUGGAUCAUUAUCGGACAUAUUUUUUUCUACAAGUAUUAUUUGUUUUUUAUUGUUUUUGUGUUGAUUGCAUCAGUGAUAACAUGGGUAAUAUCUUGUGGAGCUUCAUUUUCUGCUGAUCAUCACUCUUCCAGAAAACCAGAUCAUCAUAUUUUGGUUGUUUUCAUAUUCAGUCUGCUGGUAAUUUAUCUGCCCUUCAUUUUACUCAAUUUCAUUUUCAUAAUCAAUCCAGUAUUAUGUCAGUCUCUUCCUGUUUGGCUUAAUCCUAUCUUCUUGAUGAGUGUGAGAUUGAUUUCAGAUCCUCUCCUGUGUGUGCUGGUCUGCAGGCAGAAUCUCAGAAUUCAAACAUCACAAAACCCUGAAGAGACUAGUUCAGUCUGAGUAGGUCUGGUAAGAUGGGUUGGUUGUGAUGUCAUGAUAUUUGACUAUAAAGCUUAAUCUAUUUAACUGUUUCAACAUAAGGAUAUAUAACCAUAAGGUGUCUGCAUAACACACAUGAAUUAUGCUUGUGACACUAUAUUUUUCAGCGUAGUGAACUUCAUCUGCAGUACUGUAUGGUAAACAUUACAGGCUCUCUUUCAUUUCUCUGCAUAAUAACCAGUCUAACAGGCUGCAUUUAAUAAUACAUGCAGAUAUAAAAUGUACAUACAGUAUAAAACACUGUAUUGUUUUGCAUUUAAUCUUCAUCACUUUUUCAUGUUUCUGGUGUAGUCUUU